GGUGACGUAGCUGAGCAGGCUCAAGCGCCCGGUUGAAGCCCGGGAGACGGUUGUUCGAAUCAACCCGUUACCA
This 73-nucleotide transfer RNA is filed under the name Lewinella sp. Its description in RNAcentral is "tRNA-Phe". It matches the Rfam family "tRNA". Rfam says of the family: Transfer RNA (tRNA) molecules are approximately 80 nucleotides in length. Their secondary structure includes four short double-helical elements and three loops (D, anti-codon, and T loops). RNAcentral also lists the same sequence under 2 other names. The record is from RNAcentral. Lineage: Bacteria; Pseudomonadati; Bacteroidota; Saprospiria; Saprospirales; Lewinellaceae.